GCACUGCUGAUGAGUCCCACAAUAGGACAAAGCGGUCGUCCAGUAC
Molecule: non-coding RNA, 46 nt
Organism: Schistosoma margrebowiei
Lineage: Eukaryota; Metazoa; Platyhelminthes; Trematoda; Strigeidida; Schistosomatidae
Source: Rfam